This 458-nucleotide ribosomal RNA is filed under the name uncultured bacterium. RNAcentral's name for it is "SSU rRNA". It matches the Rfam family "Bacterial small subunit ribosomal RNA", at positions 26 to 518 of the family's 1533-position model. The record is from RNAcentral.
AGGACGAACGUUGGCGGUGUGCUUCACACAUGCAAGUCGAACGGAGUAGUAGCAAUACUACUUAGUGGCGGACGGGUGAGUAACACGUGGGAAUCUACCUAUAAGUGGGGAAUAACUGACCGAAAGGUUAGCUAAUACCGCAUACGUCGAAAGAUAAAAGGAGCAAUUCGCUUGUAGAUGAGCCCGCGGCCGAUUAGCUAGUUGGUAAGGUAAAAGCUUACCAAGGCGACGAUCGGUAGCUGGUCUGAGAGGACGAUCAGCCACAAUGGAACUGAGACACGGCCCAGACUCCUACGGGAGGCAGCAGUGGGGAAUAUUGCGCAAUGGGCGAAAGCCUGACGCAGCGACGCCGCGUGGGGGAUGAAUGCCUUCGGGUUGUAAACCCCUUUCAGCAGGGACGAAGCGAAAGUGACGGUACCUGCAGAAGAAGCGCCGGCUAACUACGUGCCAGCAGCCGC